AUAAAGGCUGUGAAGGAGAGGAGUAACUUUCGGAGAGUUUAUAGAGAGAAGAUGGUAGCUGGAAAUCUUCAAUGAACCGUUAGUGAAGCAGUUCCGGAGCUUUGAACCCAACGGCAUUAUUGCUUAGUAGGCUUCAACGGGUUCUCCCGUUACAGAGAGAUGAUGUGGAUGUGCAUCAGCAGAGUGCAGAAUAAUAAGUUCUGAAUAUUAGGUGGUAACACGGAGUAAUUCGCCCUAAAC
This 240-nucleotide non-coding RNA is filed under the name Eubacterium sp. RNAcentral describes it as "T-box sequence". It matches the Rfam family "T-box leader". Rfam says of the family: Uncharged tRNA acts as the effector for transcription antitermination of genes in the T-box leader family. T-boxes are found upstream of many aminoacyl-tRNA synthetase genes and some amino acid biosynthetic genes usually in Gram-positive bacteria. The anticodon of a specific tRNA base pairs to a specifier sequence within the T-box motif, and the NCCA acceptor tail of the tRNA base pairs to a conserved bulge in the T-box antiterminator hairpin. The record is from RNAcentral. Lineage: Bacteria; Bacillati; Bacillota; Clostridia; Eubacteriales; Eubacteriaceae.